RNAcentral lists this transfer RNA (83 nucleotides) under Phaeodactylibacter sp. Its description in RNAcentral is "tRNA-Leu". It matches the Rfam family "tRNA". Rfam says of the family: Transfer RNA (tRNA) molecules are approximately 80 nucleotides in length. Their secondary structure includes four short double-helical elements and three loops (D, anti-codon, and T loops). The record is from RNAcentral. RNAcentral also lists the same sequence under 1 other name. Lineage: Bacteria; Pseudomonadati; Bacteroidota; Saprospiria; Saprospirales; Haliscomenobacteraceae.
GCCGGAAUGGCGGAACUGGUAGACGCGCACGUUUCAGAGGCGUGUGUCCUUAGGGCGUGGGGGUUCGACUCCCCCUUCCGGCA